This 384-nucleotide ribosomal RNA is filed under the name Cryptomeria sp. Its description in RNAcentral is "partial small subunit ribosomal RNA". It matches the Rfam family "Eukaryotic small subunit ribosomal RNA", at positions 587 to 975 of the family's 1831-position model. Lineage: Eukaryota; Viridiplantae; Streptophyta; Pinopsida; Cupressales; Cupressaceae. The record is from RNAcentral.
AGCUCCAAUAGCGUAUAUUUAAGUUGUUGCAGUUAAAAAGCUCGUAGUUGGACCUUGGGUCGUCAUGGUCGGUCCGCCUACUUGGUGUGCACUGGCCCUCACGUCCCUUCUGCCGGCGGCGUGUUCCUGGCCUUAGUUGGCUGGGUCGCGGUUCCGGCGCCGUUACUUUGAAAAAAUUAGAGUGCUCAAAGCAAGCCUACGCUCUGAAUACAUUAGCAUGGAAUAACGCGAUAGGAGUCUGGUCCUGUUCCGUUGGCCUUCGGGACCGGAGUAAUGAUUAAUAGGGACUGUCGGGGGCAUUCGUAUUUCAUUGUCAGAGGUGAAAUUCUUGGAUUUAUGGAAGACGAACCACUGCGAAAGCAUUUGCCAAGGAUGUUUUCAUUA